GAACGGGUGAGUAACACGUGGGCAAUCUGCCCUUCACUCUGGGACAAGCCCUGGAAACGGGGUCUAAUACCGGAUACCACUACCGCAGGCAUCUGUGGUGGUUGAAAGCUCCGGCGGUGAAGGAUGAGCCCGCGGCCUAUCAGCUUGUUGGUGAGGUAAUGGCUCACCAAGGCGACGACGGGUAGCCGGCCUGAGAGGGCGACCGGCCACACUGGGACUGAGACACGGCCCAGACUCCUACGGGAGGCAGCAGUGGGGAAUAUUGCACAAUGGGCGAAAGCCUGAUGCAGCGACGCCGCGUGAGGGAUGACGGCCUUCGGGUUGUAAACCUCUUUCAGCAGGGAAGAAGCGAAAGUGACGGUACCUGCAGAAGAAGCGCCGGCUAACUACGUGCCAGCAGCCGCGGUAAUACGUAGGGCGCAAGCGUUGUCCGGAAUUAUUGGGCGUAAAGAGCUCGUAGGCGGCUUGUCACGUCGGGUGUGAAAGCCCGGGGCUUAACCCCGGGUCUGCAUUCGAUACGGGCUAGCUAGAGUGUGGUAGGGGAGAUCGGAAUUCCUGGUGUAGCGGUGAAAUGCGCAGAUAUCAGGAGGAACACCGGUGGCGAAGGCGGAUCUCUGGGCCAUUACUGACGCUGAGGAGCG
This 641-nucleotide ribosomal RNA is filed under the name Streptomyces canus. Its description in RNAcentral is "bacterial SSU rRNA". It matches the Rfam family "Bacterial small subunit ribosomal RNA", at positions 100 to 755 of the family's 1533-position model. The record is from RNAcentral. Lineage: Bacteria; Bacillati; Actinomycetota; Actinomycetes; Kitasatosporales; Streptomycetaceae.